CAAGGCUCUUUAUCAGUUCCAUCAAAACUUUUAGCUGGCCGCAAGCAUGCAUUACGAAGACGAUGAUGAGACCAUAUAUACUUGUCGCGAUCGAUAUAGUGACUACUCCGGACAAACAAUGCAACGCAAACACUAUUUCGUAGGUCGGAUUGGAUUGUACAUCGAACGAAAAGAGAAAAGUUGGAUAAGGACAAUGAGUUUGCGAGCAGUGAUUUUCAUUGGCCUGUUAAACAUAAUCAUCAUUAAGACGAAUCUGCGUGCCUUCUUAUCCGGAAGACGAUACCACUCCAGUUCACAAGAAGUAACUGCUACCUUCUCCGCCUAUUAUUACAAAGAGAAAGAUGAUAUUUACGAACUUUUGCAGCAAGACAUCCUAGAUGAGCGAUUCCAGACGUAUUAAGAUGUGUACAUCAGGCGCUCACAUUUAUGAAACAUACAAGGAUGUAAUUGCAUGUACCUAAUCGAAGAAACAAUUUGCAUAAGACAAACAUGCAACCUUAAUUAUGAAAGAUGAAGAUAACGUUAAUAAUCCGCGUAUAUUAGCAGUGCUAGCGAUGAUAAACUUGAAUCCUCAUAUUUCGACUAGAGCAACUGCAACGUAAUUUAGGAGUUCCUUAUGUCACUUUCCUUAUGUCACUGUGUGGAGGAUUUUACAAGGACAUAAAUUCCAUCCCUACCAUAUCACUUUAACCCAAGAUUAUGUUCUCUUCAGUGACGAAAACUCAUUUUAUAACAAUGGACAACUCAAUAGGCAUAAAUGUAUUUAUUGAUCCACAUACAAUCCUCACUGGACUCAACGUGUUGAUAAUCAACAUCGUUAGAAUUUAAAUACUUGAAUAAAUUGCCUGAGCUUUUAGAAGAGGUUGAUUUUGCUACUCGACAAAAAAUAUGGCAGCAAGACGAUGCACCACCCCAUUCUCAUCGUAUUGUGAUGGAAUAUCUCAAUAACAUCUUUCAUGAAAGACGAACAGGGAGGUAUGGAUAUAUUCGGUGACAUCCAUGGUUUCCUGAUUUAACUUCGUGUGAUUUUUUUGUGGGGCUACAUAAAAAAUAUUGUUUACAAAACUCCGCCGACAUCUGCAGGAGACAUGAAAAAUUGAAUAACUAAUGUUUGUUGUAGCAUUCCUCAAAAUAUUUUAAUUUCAACAGUAGAAAAUUUUGAGAAACGAUUGAAACUAUGUCUGUAAGAAAAUAGAGCUCCAUUUGAACAUCUUAUCAAAGGCUAAAAACAUAUUUGAAUUGAUCUUGCUUUAAUUGGUCGCAUCAGUGAUCAGUCUUGCCUUAAUUUUCAAGCUCCAUAACUCGGAAAGUACUCAAUAAAAGGUAACUUUAUUAUAGUGUUUUGGAAAGCUCUAGUGAUAAGCUACAAGAAUAUGUAAUAAAAAAAUAGGGGUUUCCGUUU
Long non-coding RNA from Odontomachus brunneus, 1402 nucleotides. RefSeq lists it as uncharacterized. Lineage: Eukaryota; Metazoa; Arthropoda; Insecta; Hymenoptera; Formicidae. The transcript has 4 exons. The record is from RefSeq and is a predicted model, not a curated record.